RNAcentral lists this ribosomal RNA (449 nucleotides) under uncultured bacterium. Its description in RNAcentral is "partial 16S ribosomal RNA". It matches the Rfam family "Bacterial small subunit ribosomal RNA", at positions 29 to 523 of the family's 1533-position model. The record is from RNAcentral.
AACGAACGCUUGCGGCAUGCCUAACACAUGCAAGCCGAACGAGAUCUUCGGGUCUAGUGGCGCACGGGUGCGUAACGCGUGGGAAUCUGCCCUUUGGUUCGGAAUAACAGUUGGAAACGACUGCUCACACCGGAUGAUCACUAAAGUGCAAAGAUUUAUCGCCGGAGGAUGAGCCCGCGUAGGAUUAGUCAGUUGGUGGGGUAAAGGCGCACCAAGGCGACGAUCCUUAGUUGGUCUGAGAGGAUGAUCAGCCACACUGGGACUGAGACACGGCCCAGACUCCUACGGGAGGCAGCAGUGGGGAAUAUUGGACAAUGGGCGAAAGCCUGAUCCAGCAAUGCCGCGUGAGUGAUGAAGGCCUUAGGGUUGUAAAGCUCUUUUACCCGGGAUGAUAAUGACAGUACCGGGAGAAUAAGCUCCGGCUAACUCCGUGCCAGCAGCCGCCGUAA